This 242-nucleotide unclassified non-coding RNA is filed under the name air metagenome. RNAcentral's name for it is "partial contains small subunit ribosomal RNA, internal transcribed spacer 1, and 5.8S ribosomal RNA". The stretch from base 1 to 46 matches the Rfam family "Eukaryotic small subunit ribosomal RNA", at positions 1786 to 1831 of the family's 1831-position model. The record is from RNAcentral.
AAGUCGUAACAAGGUCUCCGUUGGUGAACCAGCGGAGGGAUCAUUACAGAGUGUAAAAACUCCACAAACCCACUGUUUACCUAUCUUAUUGAGCGUCUGCUUCGGCGGGCGGCCCCAGGGCGGGGCCGCUGUUCGCGCUUCGGCGCGGGCGCCCGCCGGAGGAGACAACCAAACUCUUAUAGUAAAACUCUGAGCACAAAGACAAAUAAUCAAAACUUUCAACAACGGAUCUCUUGGUUCUG